GACGAACGCUGGCAGCGUGCUUAACACAUGCAAGUCGAACGGAAAGGCCCUGCUUUUGUGGGGUGCUCGAGUGGCGAACGGGUGAGUAACACGUGAGUAACCUGCCCUUGACUUUGGGAUAACUUCAGGAAACUGGGGCUAAUACCGGAUAGGAGCUCCUGCUGCAUGGUGGGGGUUGGAAAGUUUCGGCGGUUGGGGAUGGACUCGCGGCUUAUCAGCUUGUUGGUGGGGUAGUGGCUUACCAAGGCUUUGACGGGUAGCCGGCCUGAGAGGGUGACCGGCCACAUUGGGACUGAGAUACGGCCCAGACUCCUACGGAAGGCAGCAGUGGGGAAUAUUGCACAAUGGGCGGAAGCCUGAUGCAGCAACGCCGCGUGCGGGAUGACGGCCUUCGGGUUGUAAACCGCUUUCGCCUGUGACGAAGCGUGAGUGACGGUAAUGGGUAAAGAAGCACCGGCUAACUACGUG
RNAcentral lists this ribosomal RNA (468 nucleotides) under uncultured bacterium. RNAcentral's name for it is "partial 16S ribosomal RNA". It matches the Rfam family "Bacterial small subunit ribosomal RNA", at positions 28 to 507 of the family's 1533-position model. The record is from RNAcentral.